Molecule: non-coding RNA, 3993 nt
Organism: Anas platyrhynchos (mallard)
Lineage: Eukaryota; Metazoa; Chordata; Aves; Anseriformes; Anatidae
Source: RefSeq, a predicted model, not a curated record
CAGUGAUGCAUUCUAUGUCAAGAGGCCAGCUCGUCAGUCAUAAGGCAGUGUGAGGUCCGAAUCAUUCCUGAAAUUAUCCCUGCUCCAUAACAGAGGCAGCACAAGCUCUGUGAAACUAUUCCCUCCUACUCCGUCUCACUAAAGAAUUAGAUUAAAUUAACUGGUCUUUAAGAGAAAAAAAAAAAGUGAUUAGUGAUUUCAUAACAGGGCUCCAAAACAGUAGGCAUCAUGAGCGGAAUAUGCAUACUGCAUGUAUUGCUAAACAUAACUACUGCAGUGGUAUCAACCUUUUCUUCCUAAGGACAGACACCCAACCUUGCAAACACCCUGCUGCUGGUAGCUCACCACAAAGCCUUCAGAGGAGCCAGACCUUGGAGAGAAAGACAGCUCCUAAAGCCUGUGUUAGCCCAAAAUGUACUGUGAGAGCCUGUACGACCGGUGCGUGCUGCUAAUCCCUCGAUGCUCUGAGAAGCCAGUGAGGUAAAUCACCCAUUGUGACAAACAGCACCUAGUGGUACAGCCUGAAGUGGCAAAAACUGGACUGGAGAAGUAGUUUGGAAUAUGUUUUUGUACUUGGUUCACCUUUCCACGCAUGAAGUCUUCCCAGGUGAUUUCAAAAGUGGAAACUGGUUGUAGAAAUACCAUUUUGUUUCUGUUCCCACUAGGUCUGCUUUUACAGGGCUGACGUAGGGGUUUUCUGCACAGGAAUUGCACGCCCCCCCUUGGUAGCGUGGCCUCGAUACCGACAGAUGCCACAGGAGGAAUGUGAGUGUAAAUGGUGCAUGUGAGCUGAAUGCCCAAACCUGACUGUACAUUUUUGGCAGCACUUGGGGUGGCUACAUGAGAACAUGUGCCCACAUCUCCAGGUAGCAUUUAGGAACAGGGGGACCCGCACUCUCCACAGUGGGGAGUAAACCACACUUGUGGCCAGAGGCUGGGAGGUGUGUGAAUGUGUACGUGGGACUAGAAUUUGGGGAAUUUGGCACAGCAGGAUAUUGAGGAAAUUUGUAGGUGCUUGUUAGCACUUUGAAAGAUUCUAGUAUUGUAAUUUCUGUUGUACUGCUGAUGCUGCUUCACAAAACAUAGUUCACUGAUUACUGACAAAUUACGUGUACCGUCUUAUUUCAGUCCUGAGUGUUCAAAGGUAUGUCCCAGUGAUGUACCAGAUUAAGCAUCAACAGAAAUGCUGUAGUAUAUUAGCUGUUAACUGUCAGAAGAACAAGGCAACAGGCUCUGACCAGGUCAAUGAUACUAGUAGCCAACUGCAUUAUCUGUAUCUGUACUAAAGUAUAUGUAUGCAAGGAAAGAGCUUGUGAUGACUAUGAAGAUUGUGCUGCCCAUUUCAAAAAGUCUCUUUAUCAUCAAUAUUUGUGGCUACAUUUAUCAACUAUAAAGGACUCCCUCAAAGCACAAUUGCUCUUUUUUUCUGAGCCAUGGAUCAAGUUUACUUUCUCCUCAAUUACAUAAUAAAUUAAAGAAAGCCUAAUACAUUGAUUUUUUUUUUUUUUAUAUUUUAUAUGGUGGAAGUGGCAGAUUUUUUUUUAAAAUUUAAAUGGACAGGCUAGGUGCAGUAUUAGAAUUCCAGCUAUGGGCCGGUGCUGAUGCAUUCUGUCCAUCUGCCACCUGCAAAGUAUGUUAAGUCACCAACUACAGAAAUCAGUCUUCAGAGAGGGUCUGCUUUCAGUUUUGGCAGGGUUUCUGGAAGAGCUUCAGUAGCUGAGGACAGAGUAAAUACAGAUAUUCAGAAUCUACAGAAGGAUAUUAACAGGUUCUACCUAAGUGCUGAGCAAAGAACUUGUUAGAUUUCUGAGAUAUGAGACAUCUGAAUAACUUCAAGUCAAUACAAGAGGAUCUGCAGAUACUUGCUAUUAAGACCAAGCAAACGGUGAAGCCUUUCCGAAAAUGCUUGAAAAUAGUUUUUAUUGGAUUGCUGCUGACUGGUUUAAAUACUCCACUGCCUACUGAUGAUUUCCUGAGAAGCCUUGACUAUGAUCCUGCUUCACAGGUAUUUUAUGACUAGAAGUUCAAAUAAAAUCUCGGUGUUCAAAGAACUUGGAGAAGGAAGUAAUUUUCAAAGUAAAGAGGAACGUAUUUCGGCAAUAUGUUAAAGCAAAGAGCUACAGGCUUAACCUGGCGUAACCCUGGCCCCAAUUCCAGUGAGAUGCCAGCAUUGAAUAAUCGCUAUCAAAAACGACGAAGCAAGUUUAAGGAGGCUACUGUGAGCCCUGUCCAAACCAUUCACAAGCCUUGACUUCGAGACUGGUUACUGUAGUACUUCAGAAGACGCUGAGUGCCAGCAGGCACAUGCUCGUUCAGUUAGUCCUUCAUCCACAUAGGUAGGCUCGUAGCAGAAUCUGCUCUUGAUUCAUGACCACCCCAGCACUAGGAGAAACCUAGGAGAUCUCAGAGAUGUGUUUUGUCACAUGAGCAAAGGAGGACAGAGGGUUAGACUGACAAUAGACUUAAUGGAUUUAGAUUUGUAGAAUAUCGGAAUAUUUUUGGGAUAACUUGGAUGUUAGCCUCAGUCACAGGGGGAAAAAAAUCUUCCCAGGCAAAACUUGGCAAGAUUAAAUUCAAUGGCAAUAAAUAGAUAAAGAAUCCGACGAGCAUUCAUUUAUCAGAAAGUAAAGAUGUUCAAGCUAAAAUUAAGCAAAGAACCACAAAUGAUUACAAGAACCUAACUCCCAACACAUGCAUAGUUAAUUAACAGGAUGAAGUGAGUAAUUAAUUUGGAAGCAUAAAUUGCAUCAAAUUGGUUUUACUAUAAUCUGGUGGAAAAUAGCUGGAUAACGAAAUAUUCAGAUCACUACUCAGGCUAUUUCUGAAGGACAAGCUGGUCAAAGGAAAGAACAGUGAUCUAUGUAUUAAAAAAAAAAAGUCGUGAAUGGACAUGGGAAAAUAUUCUGAUUGACAAAUCAUGAGAUUAGGUAUUAAAUAGCUUCUGCUACAGGCUAUUUGGUCAUGUUAAAAGGAAGGCUUGCUUCUUAAUCUUUUACCUUCUUAGUUAUGUGAUAUAAGGAAAGCACUGUAUUUAUUACAUGUACUAACUCAGAAUUUCAUAGCUAAACUGAAGCGGGCACUGGCUGGGAGAAAAACCUGUAUUAAAACAAAUAUGUAACCAAAGGGAAAACAGGCAUAAAACAAAACAGGUAUUACAUGCUAAAAGCUGUAGAAUAUUCAGAAGGUAAGCUGUAAAUUACAUUGAUGUUGGAUAUUUACCCAUGUGAAAAGCAGGAAGGAGUAAUUAAAAAUAUAUAUAUCAGAGAAAGCAGAAAGUUUAGAUAAAUUUCUGUUCUGGAUUUCUGGCAAAAAAAAAAACAAUGUAUUAGUAUCAGAAAAUUCUAACAAUAACUAAAGAAAGCCUUAAACAUAGGAAUUGAAGUAAGGCAUUUUUUAAAUCAGCAGCUCCAGAUAGCUUGCAUCCAAGAAUUUUAAGAGCUGGCAAAGGAGACUUGUGUGCUGUUAAUGUGGAUUUUCCAUAAGCUUUGAGAAAUCUGGGGAAGCUCAGAAAAAAAAAAAAAAUCUCACAGAAGGCUGAGGUGGCGCCAAUAUUAGAAAAACAUAAGAAAGGAACAAAAUCAGAAGUUUACUGGCAACCCUGCAUUAAUCCCCAGGGGAAAAAAAUAAAACAAAAGAACAACUGAAUCCUUGGUAGAGGAACAAAAAAUAAAUGACAACACUUAAAUAACACAUCAAAUACAUGAAACACACUUUUUGACUUUAUUUCUCUUACCAUUAGGGCAUAUGUUUGGUAGACAGUAGGAACAGUGUUGAUCUAACAAAUUUGUACAUGGGCUUAUUCAGUAUAGCACCUAGAAACUGGCUUAGUUGUGCACAUGUAAUUCAAUGUAAGUAAAUAAAAUUUAAGGUUACAGGUGUGUGUCAUCAGUGAGGAAUUGCUCAGGUGUCUUUCUAAUUGAAUCCCACUGGAAUUAGUUCUUGACAACCAAGCUACUUAACAUUUUAUUGGAAAUAAAGUUUACUAAUAAUAUU